AACGAACGCUGGCGGCAUGCCUAACACAUGCAAGUCGAACGAGACCUUCUGGUCUAGUGUCGCACGGGUGCGUAACGCGUGGGAACCUUCCCUUAUGUUCGGAAUAACUCCCCGUAAGUUGUUCUAAUACCGGAUAAUGUCUUCGGACCAAAGAUUUAUCGCCUUUGGAUGGGCCCGCGUUGUAUUAGCUAGUUGGUAGGGUAAAAGCCUACCAAGGCGACGAUCCAUAGCUGGUCUGAGAGGAUGAUCAGCCAAACUGGGACUGAGACACGGCCCAGACUCAUACGGGAGGCAGCAGUGGGGAAUAUUGGAAAAUGGGCGAAAGCCUGAUCAAGCAAUGCCGGGUGAGUGAAGAAGGCAUUAGGGUUGUAAAGCUCUUUUACACGGGAUGAUAAUGACAGUACCGGGAGAAUAAGCUAGGGCUAACUCCGUG
This 433-nucleotide ribosomal RNA is filed under the name uncultured bacterium. RNAcentral's name for it is "partial 16S ribosomal RNA". It matches the Rfam family "Bacterial small subunit ribosomal RNA", at positions 29 to 507 of the family's 1533-position model. The record is from RNAcentral.